RNAcentral lists this transfer RNA (75 nucleotides) under Planctomycetota bacterium. RNAcentral describes it as "tRNA-Ser". Lineage: Bacteria; Pseudomonadati; Planctomycetota. The record is from RNAcentral.
CGGGUGGCCGGUGGCAGGAAACAGCCAUGAGCCGCUGCUGUCGGCCCUUGGUCGGCUCGGCUCCGACACGCCCAU